GCCAUUUCUCUGCCUGUGAGUCAGCAUUUAAUCUUAAAGCUUUUGCUAAUCAGUAUGAGUAGCAAAGAAGUCCCAAAAAAUUUUAUGUAACCCCUUCAUGAUAUUCACAAGCAUAAAAUUUCUGGUUUUGUGUGUGCUAGUGCAUUUUUUUUAAUAUCAACAUUUUACUGUUUGCCGAACUAAUUAUUUAUUUCUUUAUCAAACAUGAAAUGGCCUGAGGUCAUUCGUCAGGGGGAAGUUUGACAGGCAUUCAGAAUGCAGUUUCACUUCCCGUUACUUGUUCAGCAUGAAGACACUUGUUGUUUCCUCCCUUUGCCACCUGCAUCAUGAUGCUCUAUUUAUAAACCCUAUUGCAAUCUCAUGCCCUUUAAGUUUUUUAUUUGAAUUACAUGAAUUGUACUGGUCAUCUUCAUAUGACAAACCAUCAAAUAGACACCUUGGACUUUUUAUAUUCAUGACAUUAUUAAAUUAAGCUAUGAGAAUGCAUGAGAAGUUUUCAACAGCCAAGAGGAAGUCCCUGACUGCAUGAGCCAUUAACAGGAACAGGAACAGAUGAGAACGAAAAGAGAAAGAAGAAGCGGUAGGAUUUUUGCAAUUUUACUGUAUUGAUUUUAAUAUUUUUGCUAUAAAUAUUUGACCUGAUAUUUCACAGAAACUUAAACGGACAUAUAUAAUCUUUUGCAGACUCUGAUUUGGGAGAAGGUCAUCAAAUUAUUUGUGCUAAUGACAAGUUCAAUAAGUUUACAGGUUGGCUUGUUGAUUAAAUGAAAGGUUUUUGCAAUUAAUAAUGAUCUUUCAUUAUAGCAGGGGACGUCCCUGAACCAGUCCAAUUUAAAAUCUGCUACAAAAAUCAAACAAAAUACAAUGGUUCAAAGCAACGCCACUUCCACCUCUGCAAAGGAUAUUUUAUCUAAACCACCUGAAAAAAACACAAUGGUUCAAAGCAACGCCACUUCAACCUCUGCAAAGGAUAUUUUAUCUAAACCUGAAAAAAACACAAACAACUUCACUUCCAUCGGUCCAGUGACUACUUUCAAAAAUGAAAGUGUUUCUCCAUCACAGAGAAUGAAUGAGACCUCUUGUGAAUGGUUUACAUGGGACACGAAAUCCAUAUUCCCAUUUGUAGUUGGCGCUGCCUUCUCAGCAAUUGUCAUCGGCAUUGUACUCUGUAUCUGCCUCUGCUGCAAAAGAAAAGCAAAACGCAAAGAGCUCAAAGCCGGCAUGUACUUUACGAGUGUGUCCAGUGAUGAUUCGAAGGUUGAAGCAGGAUAUGACAAGGUGCCUCUUCAAGGCAUUGUGACCUUCCCAGGAGGAGCUGAAGGAGUGACUAAUGGGGAGAAGACGACCAGCCCAGAGAAAGACGUGGACUACGCUACGAUCAAUUACUCCAUGCUGCAGAAGAGGGACGACACCAGCGUCCUGGGCCAGAAGAAGGACUUGGACACGGAGUAUGCAGAGAUAAAGAAGGAAAAGAAGCCUGAUGAUCAGGCCAGGAAAAAAGAUGAUGAGGACGGGAAGGAGAAGACGGAGGAAGGGAAGAAAGAUCAGGAACCAGUUGCUGAAGAAGGGGGCAGAGCUCAGCAUGAAGAAAAGUCCUCGGUGCCUUUGGUGAAUUAGGCUCUAAAAAGAGAGGGUGUGCAAGCACCAGUAGAAUGGUCAGGACAGAGUUCCACUAAAUGCUGAGAGAUGCGGGCUUAAAUGGUUUGGCAACUUAUCUUAAAACAGACACCACAUCCCGGAAAUUAGAGAAAUAAUGUCAUGUCACAAUGUCAUGCCAUGAACUAAAGCUGUUGCGAUGCCCUUGCAAACACACUCUUCCUGUUUUGUGCAACUCUGUAAUGUUCUCAUAGGUACAGUAACCAUUUUUAAAAAUCAGAUGAUUGGUGUAGGAUUUAGAAGCCCGAAAUAUUUUUUUGCUUGCAGUGUACACUUAUGCAACUUUAGUAAAAACAUGUUCUGCACCUUGUACUUGUCCAGUUUCUGAAAUAAAUGUACCAUUAUGGGCUGUAUCCAAUCUUCUGCCAUGCAUAACUGAGGGUCAAAGGUCAGCAUCAGUGUUGUCCAGAUUUCCAUCAUUUACAUGGUUGUCCAUGGUAGCAAGAACGCAUCUAGCUGGGGCACACUAUGAAUGCAUCCCCAGUUCUUUCAGAACUUGCAGACUUGCAGUUUUCCACCCUAAUGUCACAGAUUACACCAGAAUGCUUCUUGUUUCACUGUGUUCAGUACAGUGCACAUGCUACACAAGUUUUUAAAAGCAUGGGGAUACAUCAAAAUACUGAGUUGGGGUGAUGCAUGCCUCUUUUUACCAUAUGCAUUUAAAUAUGUAUACAGGUCAACCCUUCCACUCUUCACAUUAUAUGCUCAGCAAAAAGCCACGUGAUUACUACAUACCAGAAUGUAGUAAUCAUUACAGUAAAUAUUAUAAAACCAUCCCCAGACAGCACUGUCAAUUCAUAUGCUGGGCGUAGAUUUAACAGUCCCUAGCUGUUCCAGCAGUACUGAUUCUGUUAUUUUAACCAUCCACAUGCUGACACCCAUAAAGUGUCAUAUCUAUGUUUUUUCCAUUUUUGCAUCCAUUUGAUUAGCCAAAUAUUUCAUAAACAAAUUAAAUAUAAGUGAUUGUUUUUGUCGUUGUGACACACAGCAAGCACAAUUCUUUUUUUUUUAGUUUAACGGUAAAUAAUGGGUAUAUAAUAUUCCUACUCAAAAAAUUUAGCACAAAUUUAAGACAUCCUAAAUCUGAAUGAUUUUUUUUAUUUUUUAU
Denticeps clupeoides (denticle herring) is the source of this 2764-nucleotide long non-coding RNA. The record is from Ensembl. NCBI's taxonomy places the organism in Eukaryota, Metazoa, Chordata, Actinopteri, Clupeiformes, Denticipitidae.